This 392-nucleotide ribosomal RNA is filed under the name uncultured bacterium. RNAcentral describes it as "bacterial SSU rRNA". It matches the Rfam family "Bacterial small subunit ribosomal RNA", at positions 618 to 1009 of the family's 1533-position model. The record is from RNAcentral.
GAACGGCAUCCGGAACUGUCAGGCUAGAGUGCAGGAGAGGAAGGUAGAAUUCCCGGUGUAGCGGUGAAAUGCGUAGAGAUCGGGAGGAAUACCAGUGGCGAAGGCGGCCUUCUGGACUGACACUGACACUGAGGUGCGAAAGCGUGGGUAGCAAACAGGAUUAGAUACCCUGGUAGUCCACGCCGUAAACGAUGUCGACUAGCCGUUGGGCUCCUUGAGAGCCUUGUGGCGGAGUUAACGCAUUAAGUCGACCGCCUGGGGAGUACGGCCGCAAGGUUAAAACUCAAAUGAAUUGACGGGGGCCCGCACAAGCGGUGGAGCAUGUGGUUUAAUUCGAUGCAACGCGAAGAACCUUACCUAACCUUGACAUCCUGCGAAUCGGGUAGAGAUAC